GAGUGAUCUGUCUGCUUAAUUGCGUUUCAUAUUUACGAAUGUCGCUUACGUGAUUGCUGCAGACCUCGCCUCUCUUUAUUGAGAGUGCGACGCGUCUCUUCAACUCACUCGCACAUUCUCUUGAACGCAACGAGCGUGACCGCAACCUCUUGUUGUGUAUACCAAGUGUGUCGUUGCUUGCAACUCACACUCCAAUGCACGUAUUUUGGUCACAUUGUC
RNAcentral lists this ribosomal RNA (219 nucleotides) under Hastigerina pelagica. RNAcentral describes it as "partial 18S ribosomal RNA". Lineage: Eukaryota; Foraminifera; Rotaliida; Hantkeninidae. The record is from RNAcentral.